UCUAAGUCAAGCUCCUUCCCUUUUUUUUUUCUUCCCAGAAUAUUGCCUCCCCUUUUGAUUUUCUGCCCUCGCAUGAAAAGAAGUCACCGUGAUUCUUUGCAAAUCCAUCGCUGCCGUCAUGAUUCUCAGCAAAUCCAUCACUACUGUCGCAUCGUGUCUUCCCGUCCUCUCAUCGCUUUCAGCUGGUUCGUGUCCAGUCGUGAUUCUCAGCAAAUCAAUCACCAUUGGUUUGCUUCCGUCGAAGGUAUCACAAAUUUUAGAGUUUGCUUCUACAUUCAGAUAUGGCUAGGGGUAGAGGUAAAGAAGAUGCACGUAAUGCUGAUUGUAGUGUUUUAACGGGUACAUGUAGAGGUCAAAGCUGAGGUGAUCCAUAAAUUGUUUGUGGUCGAGGCACUACAAUUGUUGUACCUACUUUAGCUGACUUUAGAGCCCCUACACCUAUUCCAAUAACCCAUGUACCAUGCUCAGCCCCUAGAGCCCUUACACUUGCUCUAGCUGCCCCUAUAGCCCCUGCACUUGAUCUAGUUGCCCCUACUGCCCCAACUUCUUCAAUUUCUAUUCCUGGAUCGAGUGCUAGUAGAUAUGCAUUGGGCAUGGGAGAUUACUCAUAUACAACCUCAUCACAUGCUACUAGGACCUUCUAUUAUGUGCAUGCAAGCGGAAAGUAAGUACAAUGUAUAAGAUUACUUAUCAUUGUAUUACAUAUCUUUGUUAUUAGUUUUUAUUUUGGUUAAUUAUUUAAAAAUAACUAUAUUGAAUAUUUAUAAAUUAUGCUCUCAUUGUUAAACUAUUAUAGUCUUAUGUCAUCUGAAAAGAUAUUUAGUGUCUGCACAAAUAUUUUUCAAAAGUACAAUGUCGAGGAGGGUUUUUCAUGGAAGAAUAUCCCACAAUUUACAAAAGAUUUUUAUUUUAAAGAAUUUGAGGUAUGCAAUAUAUUAUGCAUUCUAAUAAAGAUACAAUGUCUUAUAAUCUAUGUUGUAUUAUAUGUAUGUUUUUUAAAUUAAUUUACAGAAAGAAUUUCACUGAGAUGAGAAAAGUGCUGCAAUAGUGAGGAAGGCAUGGAAUAAAAAAGUAGCUACUCGAUACAAAGACUUUCUGACAAAUAAAAAGAAGAAGAAAAAAAGAGGAGUGCUUAUAUAUCAGUUGAAAUUUGGGAUAAAUGGAAUUUAGAUUGGAGCACUCUAGAGUAUGUAGCAAAGUCAAUGAAGUACUCAAAGAAUCGCCUAACAGAGAAGGGAGGUGAAGGAGCUAGUCCUUCUAAACAUACAGGCGGGUCCAUCACACACGAGGAGCAUGCUAGACGCAUACAAAAUGCUAACACAGACAAAGUUCCUCCAACAGCAGCUGAGUUGUUUCUCCAUACCCAUAUAAAGAAGAGUGAUCACAAUAAAUUUGUUGAUAAACAAGCUAAUUAAAAUUUUUUAUGUAAGUUUUUAUAUAAACAAGUUGUCUUUCUAAGUAAUAAAAAUUUUUUAAUUUGAUAUUGUUUAAUGAUUCUCAGUUAUGUGAUUGAUUUUUUGUUCU
Molecule: long non-coding RNA, 1524 nt
Organism: Manihot esculenta (cassava)
Lineage: Eukaryota; Viridiplantae; Streptophyta; Magnoliopsida; Malpighiales; Euphorbiaceae
Exons: 2
Source: RefSeq, a predicted model, not a curated record